Molecule: long non-coding RNA, 333 nt
Organism: Papilio polytes (common Mormon)
Lineage: Eukaryota; Metazoa; Arthropoda; Insecta; Lepidoptera; Papilionidae
Exons: 3
Source: RefSeq, a predicted model, not a curated record
UCAACUCAAAAAUAUUAUCUGUGCAAUUUUUACACAAAUGUGAGCUGCCCGGUGUCACACCACAAAAUAUCGUAUAUUUUCAAUAAUUUAUAUUUAUUCUUUCAAAUAUAUCGUUUAGUGCCUUUCAAUUAGAAAAAAUUGGAGAAUAAAGUAUGGAAAGAAGGUGACGGUCAUAUCUAUAGUAUUGACCAUUAAAUCUGAAUACUAAAUAGACGCAUUGUGGAUUCGUCCAGUGAUGGUGUUAGAUGCGCCUGCACCGUUGUGAGGGGUGCCUCGCGGCCUGCCGGCCUCCGCGCCGCGCAACGCCGCCAUACGAAAUACCGAGAGACCUCG